UACGUAGGGGGCGAGCGUUGUCCGGAUUUAUUGGGCGUAAAGAGCGUGUAGGCGGUUCGGUAAGUCUGUCGUGAAAUCCUGAGGCUCAACCUCGGGCGUGCGAUGGAUACUGCCGGGCUAGAGGGUGGUAGAGGCGAGUGGAAUUCCCGGUGUAGCGGUGAAAUGCGUAGAUAUGGGGGAGAACACUCGUGGCGAAGGCGGCCAGCUAGACCAGUUCUGACACUGAGGCGCGACAGCGUGGGGAGCAAACAGG
Molecule: ribosomal RNA, 253 nt
Filed under: uncultured bacterium
Lineage: Bacteria
Description: partial 16S ribosomal RNA
Rfam family: Bacterial small subunit ribosomal RNA
Source: RNAcentral